RNAcentral lists this ribosomal RNA (433 nucleotides) under uncultured bacterium. Its description in RNAcentral is "partial 16S ribosomal RNA". It matches the Rfam family "Bacterial small subunit ribosomal RNA", at positions 29 to 507 of the family's 1533-position model. The record is from RNAcentral.
AACGAACGCUGGCGGCAUGCCUAACACAUGCAAGUCGAACGAGACCUUCGGGUCUAGUGGCGCACGGGUGCGUAACGCGUGGGAACCUGCCCUUAGGUUCGGAAUAACUCCCCGAAAGGGGUGCUAAUACCGGAUAAUGUCUUCGGACCAAAGAUUUAUCGCCUUUGGAUGGGCCCGCGUUGGAUUAGCUAGUUGGUAGGGUAAAAGCCUACCAAGGCGACGAUCCAUAGCUGGUCUGAGAGGAUGAUCAGCCACACUGGGACUGAGACACGGCCCAGACUCCUACGGGAGGCAGCAGUGGGGAAUAUUGGACAAUGGGCGAAAGCCUGAGCCAGCAAUGCCGCGGGAGUGAUGAAGGCCUUAGGGUUGUAAAGCUCUUUUACCCGGGAUGAUAAUGACAGUACCGGGAGAAUAAGCUCCGGCUAACUCCGUG